GUGCGAAAAAAAAUACAAAUCCCCUGCGCUAUCUUCAUUACUUGUUCUAUUGCAUAAACUUGCUCUUGACUCGAAACAAAUCGUAAUCAUAUUCAUAUUCAUUCUUAUGUUAGAAAUUAGCGUGUAACAAAAAACAUUAUCUUGGUUCAUUUUACGGAUUAAUCCCGAGUGGAGUAACCCCGGAAGUUAAUCCCUUACUUGACUGAUGAAAACCUAGCUAAGGUACAUCGGACUCCAUGUGAGGGAUUUUCCCCCUUUAAUAGGAUUUGAUUAAAUGACAUCUACGGUUAAAAUCAGGAAAAAGAUGAAAAGUGAAAAUCCAACGGUUGGAUGCAUCCUUGGAAGUAUGUGAGUACUCAAGGCGUGCGGGCAUCACUAUCGAGAUGCGUGUAAGACACGAAGAGGACAUGUGGAAAAGAAAAAUUGCAGAGACGUCUCAUCGAGUUCCCUCAAGUCACGUCGUAGAUGCCGCAAUUUAAGUAUCGCCUAGAAGCGUUGCACGGGUUCACCAUGCAUAACUCAAGAUGACAGAAAUCCCAUGAGGGCGACCACAUCGUGCAUGGAACGAAAUAACAAAAUAACCACGAGGUCAUGAGCUUAUUAUACUAGAGAUGCAGCUAUGAGAGCGAACCCUGAAAAAAUUCCAUCACAUCAUAAAGAUAGUAAUGACUUAGGAGGCAACUAUUCCAGACUGGCAUAAAGCCCAACAAGAGCGACCCAACAAGCUAAGGCCCACAAAGCCUUAGGUCAAGUGUAUAGAAGGUGCACACGAAGCUCUAUUCGACUUGCCGCACAGUGGCACACCCAAAGUUAAUCGCUACCAUUGGAGCCAUCUUUAACGACUUCCACAUAUCACACCGUAAAUCAUAGAGGCGGUUGUCAACGCCCUCAACUUUAUAAGCAUGACUCAGCAUCAGGCUCACGAUACGAUUCAUUUGUUACCACUUCUUGCAAUAAUCCACCUCUUUUGGACACCAACUUGAGCGUUUAAGUGCAGUGUCCAUGCAGACAUCAUUCUCCUCUGUCGUAUAAGCUUCAUCUCCUCAACGCCGGAAUGUCGCGCGUUCAAUAGAGAGAUAGUUCGAUUAUGUUUCCAUCAUAUAUAUAUAUAUUUCAAUAAACUAUAUUCCCA
This 1132-nucleotide long non-coding RNA is filed under the name Medicago truncatula (barrel medic). RNAcentral describes it as "lncRNA gene31793". Lineage: Eukaryota; Viridiplantae; Streptophyta; Magnoliopsida; Fabales; Fabaceae. The record is from RNAcentral.